GAUGAAGAACGCAGCGAAAUGCGAAAAGUAAUGUGAAUUGCAGAAUUCAGUGAAUCAUCGAAUCUUUGAACGCACAUUGCGCCCGCUGGUACUCCGGCGGGCACGCCUGUCCGAGCGUCAUUUCAACCCUCAAGCCCUCCUUCGGGAUGGGCCUGGUGUUGGGGCUCGGCCGCCAUCUCCGGCGGCCGUCCCCUAAAUACAGUGGCGGUCACGUCGCGACUCCUUUGCGUAGUAGAAACACCUCGCUCCGGAUAGCAACGCGGUCCACGCCGUAAAACCACCGAUUUUCAAUGGUUGACCUCGGAUCAGGUGGGAAUACCCGCUGAACUUAAGCAUAUCAAAAGCGGAGGA
This 351-nucleotide unclassified non-coding RNA is filed under the name soil metagenome. Its description in RNAcentral is "partial contains 5.8S ribosomal RNA, internal transcribed spacer 2, and large subunit ribosomal RNA". The stretch from base 1 to 120 matches the Rfam family "5.8S ribosomal RNA", at positions 35 to 154 of the family's 154-position model. The record is from RNAcentral.